RNAcentral lists this unclassified non-coding RNA (243 nucleotides) under uncultured Helotiales. RNAcentral describes it as "sequence contains ITS2". Lineage: Eukaryota; Fungi; Ascomycota; Leotiomycetes; Helotiales. The record is from RNAcentral.
AACGCACAUUGCGCCCCUUGGUAUUCCGGGGGGCAUGCCUGUUCGAGCGUCAUUUCAACCCUCAAGCUCUGCUUGGUCUUGGGCACUGCCGGUAACGGCUUGCCUUAAAACUAGUGGCGGUGCCAUUCGAGCUCUACGCGUAGUAAUUAAACCCUCGCGAUUGAGUCUUGGUGGAUGCUUGCCAGCAACCCUCAUUUUUUUAUGGUUGACCUCGGAUCAGGUAGGGAUACCCGCUGAACUUAA